RNAcentral lists this ribosomal RNA (1521 nucleotides) under Flavobacteriaceae bacterium W22. RNAcentral's name for it is "bacterial SSU rRNA". It matches the Rfam family "Bacterial small subunit ribosomal RNA". Lineage: Bacteria; Pseudomonadati; Bacteroidota; Flavobacteriia; Flavobacteriales; Flavobacteriaceae. The record is from RNAcentral.
ACAAUGGAGAGUUUGAUCCUGGCUCAGGAUGAACGCUAGCGGGAGGCCUAACACAUGCAAGCCGAGCGGUAGAGUCUCUUCGGGGACUUGAGAGCGGCGUACGGGUGCGGAACACGUGUGCAACCUGCCUUUAUCAGGGGGAUAGCCUUUCGAAAGGAAGAUUAAUACCCCAUAAUAUAAUGAACGGCAUCGUUUAUUAUUGAAAACUGAGGUGGAUAGAGAUGGGCACGCGCAAGAUUAGAUAGUUGGUGAGGUAACGGCUCACCAAGUCAGUGAUCUUUAGGGGGCCUGAGAGGGUGAUCCCCCACACUGGUACUGAGACACGGACCAGACUCCUACGGGAGGCAGCAGUGAGGAAUAUUGGACAAUGGGUGAGAGCCUGAUCCAGCCAUCCCGCGUGAAGGACGACUGCCCUAUGGGUUGUAAACUUCUUUUGUACAGGGAUAAACCUAGAUACGUGUAUCUAGCUGAAGGUACUGUACGAAUAAGCACCGGCUAACUCCGUGCCAGCAGCCGCGGUAAUACGGAGGGUGCAAGCGUUAUCCGGAUUUAUUGGGUUUAAAGGGUCCGUAGGCGGAUCUGUAAGUCAGUGGUGAAAUCUCACAGCUUAACUGUGAAACUGCCAUUGAUACUGCAGGUCUUGAGUAAAGUAGAAGUGGCUGGAAUAAGUAGUGUAGCGGUGAAAUGCAUAGAUAUUACUUAGAACACCAAUUGCGAAGGCAGGUCACUAUGUUUUAACUGACGCUGAUGGACGAAAGCGUGGGGAGCGAACAGGAUUAGAUACCCUGGUAGUCCACGCCGUAAACGAUGCUAACUCGUUUUUGGGUUUUCGGAUUCAGAGACUAAGCGAAAGUGAUAAGUUAGCCACCUGGGGAGUACGUUCGCAAGAAUGAAACUCAAAGGAAUUGACGGGGGCCCGCACAAGCGGUGGAUUAUGUGGUUUAAUUCGAUGAUACGCGAGGAACCUUACCAAGGCUUAAAUGGGAAUUGACAGGUUUAGAAAUAGACUUUCCUUCGGGCAAUUUUCAAGGUGCUGCAUGGUUGUCGUCAGCUCGUGCCGUGAGGUGUUAGGUUAAGUCCUGCAACGAGCGCAACCCCUGUCACUAGUUGCCAUCAUUAAGUUGGGGACUCUAGUGAGACUGCCUACGCAAGUAGAGAGGAAGGUGGGGAUGACGUCAAAUCAUCACGGCCCUUACGCCUUGGGCCACACACGUAAUACAAUGGCCGGUACAGAGGGCAGCUACUAUGCGAAUAGAUGCGAAUCUCGAAAGCCGGUCUCAGUUCGGAUUGGAGUCUGCAACUCGACUCUAUGAAGCUGGAAUCGCUAGUAAUCGCGCAUCAGCCAUGGCGCGGUGAAUACGUUCCCGGGCCUUGUACACACCGCCCGUCAAGCCAUGGAAGUCUGGGGUACCUGAAGUCGGUGACCGUAACAGGAGCUGCCUAGGGUAAAACAGGUAACUAGGGCUAAGUCGUAACAAGGUAGCCGUACCGGAAGGUGCGGCUGGAACAUCUCAUUUUAGA